UUUCUCUCUGUGCUGGCAGUAGUUAUCAGCCGCACCACCGAGUGAUUUUAUUUAUAUAUUUUAUUUCCCCUUUUUUUUUGGAAAACCAGUGAAAGUCACCUCAUAAUUUAGAAUAUUAAAGGAUCCGCCAGUUCUAGUCGGCCUUGGGAUCCUAAGGGAAGCUAAGUGCUUAGAAAACCCUCCUCCUACUGCUCAGACACCCUCCACACUCUGAAAUUACCCCAACCGGCUCAUAAUUGGGACCAGCUGGCAGGAUGAGAGAGGAGGCCCCUGCCCCGAGCCAGGAAUCGCGUUGCAAAUUUCAUCCCUAGAAAGAAGCUUGACUUGCUCCUUUAAGGGUUAAGAGGUAGGAGGUCAAAGGCACAGCGCUCAGGAGCUGGGAUUUAAAUUGGCUACAGGGAACCUGAAAACAAAGGGCGUUCACAUUAGCAACCGUGGCUCCCUUGCUUUGUCUAGGACCAAGUGUAUGCGAAAUAGCCCAGGCGACCCUGCCGGGCUACGGCCUCCGCCGAAUUUCACUUUACAGCCUGUCUUUCCAGAACUGGCAUCGUUAAUUUGUAUGCUGCCCGAAAGCUGUCCUUUUCCCAAAGCCCUCCUCACAAAGCAGAUGCAGACCUCCAGAAGUGCACCGGAAAUAGGGUGGGUUCGGAGAGAGGGGUGUCCGUGGCGCUCGGUCUGUUUCUUAGUCUCUAAUGUUUCUGGGACUCUGCUCUCUCCUGCUUUCUCGAUAGACUUGUCAGCUCUCAGCUUUGCACUCCCACCCCCUUUCCUGUUGAGCCAGAACUACAGCUUUGCUCUUGGAGAGCAAUUCCUGAGGUCUGUCCACCCUGUCUUGGCAUUGGGCUCUCCGGCCUGGACUGGGAAUCUGGAGGGAACAAAGCAAGCCUCUGGAAGUCAAUUUCAAGUGUCAGAAACCAAGACCCCUGACUGGUUCGGCAUCUGUCCCUGCAAGACUUAGAAAACCAACCCUGUGCUUAAGAGGGAGAAGUAGAGAUGAAAGAUGAAAGACGGAGCAGCGGAAUCAAGAGAAGGAAUUAGCAGAACAGGGUGAGGCAUCGUGGAAGCGUGGGGAGAAGGAAGGAGAGUCACGGUCGAGGGAGGAGUGGGGGGGGGAAGGCAAAGAAAAGAAUUGGCAAGUAACAAAGACCAGCCUAGAAGAGGUCUCUCACCUUGCUAACGCUAGUAAUAGGAGCCUUGAAGGAAAUUGCCAAAGUGGCCUCCCUGAGGUAUUUCUACGUUUCUAUUCUUGGCAGACAAUGUGGUUUCAAUGGUUUUCUGCGACUGUUUCAGGAACAACAGUUCCUUGAUUUGGACUUGCUCCUGGAGAGAAAUGAAGGUGUGAGCGUUUACUUCAUACAUUUAUCAAAUGUGCUGCAUGCUUGGGAGCGCACAGAUACAUGGGCACGCGUAUGCCUACUGUGAUAUGAUAAAUAUAUGCAUGAGGGAAAUGGGGCUCCGGCUCGUUGUAUAGGUGGGGAGAUUUUAUGGAACAAGCCUAUUUAAUAUGUCAAAGGGAAAACAUUACUUAUGACGCCCUAUUAGCACAUCAUUCGUCUUACUGGGAAGACAGAAUGAAGAAUAUUUAACAAUUAAUAGAAAUCAUAGGAAGAAUUAUGAUUAAGUGCCAUCUGCUGGCUUCUGUGGGUUUUAUUUUUAUGCAGCGUUGAGCCUGUCCUCAUAAUUAUCGAACGUCUCUCUUGCGCUGAG
Molecule: long non-coding RNA, 1707 nt
Filed under: Felis catus (domestic cat)
Lineage: Eukaryota; Metazoa; Chordata; Mammalia; Carnivora; Felidae
Description: lncRNA (ENSFCAG00000041927.2)
Source: RNAcentral